GACGAACGCUGGCGGCGUGCCUAAUACAUGCAAGUUGAGCGAUGAAGUUUGGUGCUUGCACCAAUUUGAAGAGCAGCGAACGGGUGAGUAACGCGUGGGGAAUCUGCCUUUGAGCGGGGGACAACAUUUGGAAACGAAUGCUAAUACCGCAUAACAACUUUAAACAUAAGUUUUAAGUUUGAAAGAUGCAAUUGCAUCACUCAAAGAUGAUCCCGCGUUGUAUUAGCUAGUUGGUGAGGUAAAGGCUCACCAAGGCGAUGAUACAUAGCCGACCUGAGAGGGUGAUCGGCCACAAUGGGACUGAGACGCGGCCCAAACUCCUACGGGAGGCAGCAGUAGGGAAUCUUCGGCAAUGGACGAAAGUCUGACCGAGCAACGCCGCGUGAGUGAAGAAGGUUUUCGGAUCGUAAAACUCUGUUGGUAGAGAAGAACGUUGGUGAGAGUGGAAAGCUCAUCAAGUGACGGUAACUACCCAGAAAGGGACGGCUAACUACGUG
Molecule: ribosomal RNA, 497 nt
Filed under: uncultured bacterium
Lineage: Bacteria
Description: partial 16S ribosomal RNA
Rfam family: Bacterial small subunit ribosomal RNA
Source: RNAcentral